UCAUCGGGUGGCAUCCUCCAGCCAUUUAAUCCGUCGAGCAAUACAUCGAGCGGGGAAGCUUUACAUGCGACGAUGGGAGUUGCUUUCAUGCUCGCAGUGCUGGUUUGGACUUGGAGGUUCUACUUGUGAGUUUCAAGACUUUUGUAGUGAUGGGAAGGGAGUGUUCGUUGUCCGUCCGUUUGCUUAGAAGCUUUAGCUACUU
Molecule: long non-coding RNA, 202 nt
Filed under: Selaginella moellendorffii
Lineage: Eukaryota; Viridiplantae; Streptophyta; Lycopodiopsida; Selaginellales; Selaginellaceae
Description: long non-coding RNA (SMOE_LNC000504)
Source: RNAcentral